CCAAUAGCGUAUAUUAAAGUUGUUGCAGUUAAAAAGCUCGUAGUUGAAUUUCGGGAUCAGACUGUCGGUCGUGCCUCGGUACGUACUGGCAUUAUUGGUUCCUACCUUCUGAAGAACCGCGAUGUCAUUAAUUUGGUGUCUCGGGGAAUCAGGACUGUUACUUUGAAAAAAUUAGAGUGUUUAAAGCAGGCUUGCGCUUGAAUACAUUAGCAUGGAAUAAUGAAAUAGGACGUUUGAUUCUAUUUUGUUGGUUUCUAGGAUCGACGUAAUGAUUAAUAGGGAUAGUUGGGGGCAUUAGUAUUCAAUUGUCAGAGGUGAAAUUCUUGGAUUUAUUGAAGACUAACUACUGCGAAAGCAUUUGCCAAGGAUGUUUUCAUUAAUCAAGAACGAAAGUUAGGGGAUCGAAGACGAUCAGAUACCGUCGUAGUCUUAACCAUAAACUAUGCCGACUAGGGAUCGGAUGAUGUUAAUUUUUUAAUGACUCAUUCGGCGCCUUACG
RNAcentral lists this ribosomal RNA (499 nucleotides) under uncultured Glomeromycotina. RNAcentral describes it as "partial small subunit ribosomal RNA". It matches the Rfam family "Eukaryotic small subunit ribosomal RNA", at positions 591 to 1092 of the family's 1831-position model. Lineage: Eukaryota; Fungi; Glomeromycota. The record is from RNAcentral.